This 152-nucleotide ribosomal RNA is filed under the name Pyropia nitida. RNAcentral describes it as "5.8S ribosomal RNA". The stretch from base 39 to 152 matches the Rfam family "5.8S ribosomal RNA", at positions 1 to 114 of the family's 154-position model. Rfam says of the family: 5.8S ribosomal RNA (5.8S rRNA) is a component of the large subunit of the eukaryotic ribosome. The record is from RNAcentral. Lineage: Eukaryota; Rhodophyta; Bangiophyceae; Bangiales; Bangiaceae.
ACUGUGGGGAGAACGUCUCUGUACAAUAACAAACAUACAACUCUUAGCGGUGGAUAUCUCGGUUCUCGCAACGAUGAAGAACGCAGCCAACUGCGAUAACUAAUGUGAAUUGCAGGACUUCGUGAAUCAUUGAGUCUUUGAACGCAAGUUGC